AACAUUCAUUUAUGAGCACAUUCUCAAAGCCCAAAAUGCAAAGGCAAACUUUGAAGGAAAAAUAGAGUGGAGAGUGGGAAAAAAAAAAUGGUUAGCGGGAGGAGGAAGAAGUGUGUGAAAAAAUGGCGGCGGCGAACUCUGAGGGUAAUGGUCAGAAACCGAGAUUGGAAACGUUUCAGUUAUUCUCUUCCUCCGCUUCCGCCUUCGGAAUCUUCGACGAUGCUGCGCAACAAGUUCCUCAUAUACCUCCUCCUCCCUGCGUUGAAGUCCUUGCUUCUGAGGUUCCUUCAUCCAUCAAACACAACGUGGACUCUGUAAAUUUGGAUGGAGUUACUUUGUUAAAGGGGCGGGUGAAUACCCAACAAGUUUUUGGUUUGUCCAACUCCAAUUUAGUUCCCUGGAAAUAUGAAGGAGGACUUAAGCUGUGGGAAGGUUCACUUGAUCUAAUUAAAGCCCUUCGUUCAGAUAUCAGAAAUGGGCUUAUCUCAUUUAGUGGGAAGCGAGUGUUAGAGGUAGGAUCUGGUCAUGGACUCCCUGGAAUCUUUGCAUUGCUUGAGGGGGCAGCUGCUGUACAUUUUCAAGACUUCAAUGCUGAGGUCCUACGUUUCCUCACAAUUCCUAAUUUAAAUGCUAAUCUUUCUAGAGAUACUCAACUAUCGUCAUUCAACUCCACAAUUUGUGACAAGGCAGAAGUUUGCUUUUUUGCUGGUGACUGGAGUGGAAUUGAUAAACUGCUCCCUCAUGUCAGUACAGAUGCAAAAAAUAAUCAAGGUGAUGGUUAUGACUUUAUUCUUAUGGCUGAGACAGUUUACUCAAUCAACAGUCUCCAAAAUCUCUAUGAUCUUAUCAAGAAGUGCUUGCAGCAUCCUGAUGGAGUUGUGUACAUGGCAGCAAAGAAGUAUUAUUUUGGAGUAGGUGGUGGAACUGGUGAUUUCUGUCUGUGGUAGAGAAGGAUGGUGUCAUGACUAGUAGCCUGGUUGCUGAAAUCACAGAUGGUUCAUCUAAUGUUCAUGAAGUAUGGAAGCUUGCAUACAAGUAGUAUCGGUAUUUUCUUCCUUCACCAGUCAAACUAUCCCCGGUUUAUUUGCUCAUGAUUGCCCAUGCAUGAAAAGGGGGCUGUUGGAAGGGUGGUGAUGGGUUGACCAUGUUGCCAGUUUAUAUCCAAUUCAGAGGUCAUUCAUGGCGGACGAGUUUUGGUAAUGGUUGUAGAAACCGUAUGGUCAGAAGAGAAUCUUUACCCUCAUUUCAAGCUAUACUUCUCUGCUUAUACCGGGCUUGGUUUUUCUUGGUCAAUUGUAUUUUCUAGUAGGUAAUGCAAAUAUAUAUAAUUUUCUCAUUUGUGUUUAUUUUGACCUUAUUCCUAGUGGUAUAAGGUUUUUAUUGUUGUUGUACUUAUUUUGAUUGGAUGCAAUGCAUUGCUGGAGCUAACCCCUUAGCAGAACUUAAGGAAUCAAAGAAUGAUCACGAAAUGAGGGAAGUAAUAGGAAAUUUGUCCUAUAAUUUUAAAUUCCAAAUCUCCCAUGAAAUAUGAUCAACAUCAGAAAGAUUAUAAAUGAAUCCAACAACUAUAGGAUCUUGGCAUGAAGCUGCAGUAAAAAAAAGGGUCAGAACUACAACCGACAACAGACAGAUUAUAUGUGAAAGGUCAAGAGUCAGACCUACAACGAUAAUAUUUCGAGCAGCCUCUGUUUGGAGGGUUUGAUGGGGGAGGAAGACACCCUUCACUUUUGCUGUAAGCUUCACCACGGGCACCACUAUUACAUUCUUCCUUGUCUCUCACAAGAGCACCUUUGGAAAUGUACUCCUCCAGAAACCUUCGUCUUAUUUCUGAUUACAUCAGUAGCUCAUCUUGAUUGCAUUCGGUUAUGGAACCAUUGUAUGCGUUUGAAUGUCUUGUCUGGGACAACAGUCUUUUCUAA
Glycine soja is the source of this 1919-nucleotide RNA transcript. It is a transcript of the gene named histidine protein methyltransferase 1 homolog, with no coding region annotated. The transcript is spliced from 9 exons. The record is from RefSeq and is a predicted model, not a curated record. Lineage: Eukaryota; Viridiplantae; Streptophyta; Magnoliopsida; Fabales; Fabaceae.